GACUUUUUUGGCUGUUAUGAAGAAAAUUGCUGCAAACAUUCAGGACCUGCUUGUGUUGGGACAGAAGAGUGGUGAGAAAGACCUCCUCGGAGGCCUGGGGCAUGUGUGAUGCUCCAGUGAAAACAACAGAAUCAGGGUGUGAGCAGGCAUCUCCGUGGAUUUGCCAGACGCAAUUUACCAAUCUUCUCAGCACAGACUCUUACAAAGACUGCAUUCCUGACUAUGUCACAGAGCCCAGGAGGGCAGGCAGAAAGCAUAAACCACCCGUGUGAGCAGAGGAAAGUGGCGUGGAGAAGUCGUGUAAGAACCCUUUAAUGGAUAUGUAAAUGGCAUCAGUGAGGGAGACUAAAUGGCAGUGGAGUGUUGCUUAGAGGCGUUUUAUGCAUUUUAUGAUGUUUUGUGCAUUUGAAAAUACUGGUAACAGGAAGAGAGGGACCCUAUCACAAUUCUGGUCUCUCAUUAUUUGUACAUAAUAAGCAUAUCCAUUAUCGUUAUUUAGACCACUUGCUAGUCUGAAUUUUUCCAGAAAUGAUGUUUUCCCAGAAUGUCUAGGACUUCCUCUCUCAUACUGAGUUGUUGAGCUUGGAGUCUGCUGCAGGUUAGAGUCUGAAGCCAAAUUUGUCACGAGGUGUCUCAGCCAGAAUACUGAGCUGCUCAGGGUCACCUGCCCAGGAAAGCAGCCAGGGAAUUCCUGGGCAUUGAGACCACACGGGAACGUGAGCAUCUAUUGCUAGAGAGCUGUGCAGUGUGGGACAGGCAGUCCGAAGAUUUUUGAAAGAAGCAGCUGCACACAUUGUCUGUUUCACCACUCAUGGGCAGGUGGAAAGCUGAGCCUGGAGAGGUAAAGUUGUUGGCUGGCCACAGGCAGGGGAGGGGGAACCUGCUCCCUUGGGCCUUUGUUGCUGUGCUGGGUGAAGGUUGUGGAGAAGCCUUGCCUCUAGAAAGAGAGGACAGGAAGAGAGCAGUGAUGCCUUAGGAAAAGAAAAAACUGCAAGUUACUGAGCACUGACCACGGGCCAACACCUGUCAGUGCUUGAUGUCAGCCACAGCCCUGAGGGACAAGGGCAUGGAGCCUGGGUCCGUGAAGUGAGCUCUCUCUCUAAGGUUGGAGGUGAAGCGAGGGGGCAUGUGCAGUGUGAACUGGGGGCUCUGACUGCAAGUGCUGUCCACCAUUGGAUCCAGGUGGCUGGGCAUACUCUCACUGUCCAGACGAUGACUGGAUUCGGGGGUCUUUUCUGGUGCCAGAUUUCCAGUGUGUGUCGGCAGCUCUGGUUUUUGUUGGUCCCUUAUCACCAAAGACCACUUCCCCUUUGCCCUUGUGGGGGAUGUGAAGGGUGGCCCUGAAUCACGCACUUCCACUUCCUCUGGUCUUCGCUGGAGCUCUGAAAAGGUGUGAACACCAAACACUACUAUUCUGGGCUGAUGGCGUUCAAUCUGGCCUUCUGUGCACCUGGAGCAUGGGCAGCUCAUCUUGGUCUCGCUGAUGGCACUGUUUUCCAGUGGCUGAAGGAGCAGGUGAUGCUCUGUUUUGCAUGUUCUGUGCUUUCUGCAGACUCCCCUGGUCACACUUGGGCCUGGGAGCUGCAUGGUCACCCAGACAGGGCAUGUCUCAGCCUGCCAGCCUUGGAAGGAAACAUCCCCAACCCAUCAGUGAGUCCUUGCCGCAUCCUAUGACCUUCCGGGUCCCAGGGCCCAGAGCACACCUGCCUCUCAUGAGACUUUCCUCAGCUGGGAUUUAAGUCUGAAUUGCUUAAGAGGAAAGGAGCAGGUCCACAAGGACUCAGAGGCUACAGCAAGUGUCCAGUGAAGCUGUCACAUGUGAUUAAGAAGAGAAAGAAGCCUGUCCCAUGUUCCGGGAUGGACUGGUCUGGCUGCUUAAGGCAGCUACGCUGAAUAAAAUGAUAUGACAAUGCCCCAUGUCUUGAAACUUCAGCUUCCUCCUCUUCAUCCGGGAGCCUCCACCCUGGUCUGAAGCUGUCCCUUCUAUCCUAAGGCCUGCCUUGCCUUCAGAACCCAUGGUCUGUCAGGCCUCCCGGUUCCUCAUUCCCCCAGAUAGAGGUGUGAGGGAGGAGCUCUUCCCACCUUCUGCAGACAGGCAGACUGAGGCUUGAGCAUCUGUGGCUUGCUUUUGAGGACACAAGGGAGGUGGGGGGCCUAGCUGGAGCCAGGUCUUUAGAUCACGGCUCUGGGCUUUCCGCCCACCUCACCCUGACUCCUCGUCUAGCCUCAUCCCCGAUUUCCCCAUUAGACACCUGCUCUCUACCAGGAGACCAAGCAGGAAGGUUUCCUUAGCACCCUUGGGAAAUCUUCUGUUCUUGGGGUACAUUUGGAGUGAUUUCCAGAACGACACCAUCCCCUACCUCCUGAUGUCCUCACCCAGGUGUCCCACAGGCAUGUCUGUCCUUCCCUGCCCAAAAGGGACCCCACCAUCUCCCCCAUCAACAGCUCUUCCCUUUAUUAGACCCCCACCUCUAACCCAACACCCUGAUCAGAGCCUGCUGCUGAGCUUAUCCACACACCUGCCUUCCAGUGGCCUCUCCUUCCUCCCAGCUCUCAUCCCUCCCUUCUCUUCACUCUUGCCACGCCUCAGGCACUGAUCGUUUCUUACCAUGACCAUUGAAACUAUCUCGGACGGGUCCCCCGCUGUGGCAUCCCCGCUCCACGUGGCCCUGGGUGCCUUGCCCUCUCUCACUCCCAGUCUUAGGAACCUAUUCUGGUAACGUGAGCGAUGGGAGUGCACCGGAGUGUGUGAGUUUGCCGGUGGAUUUGCAGAGGGCUGGCGAGCCAGGCCUGGAGCUGGCAGGCGUGAGGGGCUCCCUGGAAAAGACGAACCCAUCUCCCCCACUUCGCUGUGUCACACCAGGUGUCCACUAGAGUUGCCAACUGUGACAGUGUCCGGAGGUUCUCUGGCUGGGGCUCUGAAAGAGACUGACAAAGGCAGAUUAACGAGAGAAAAACAGACACGAGUUUAUUACCACGUGCAUCACGCACACCCAUGGGAACGUCCGCAGUGAGUAACUCCAAGGGGCGGCCAGAGCUCGAGCUUUCAUAGCACCUCACAAGAGAAUGCUUGUUUAGAGAAGUGACAAGACAGAGGAGAAGGGCUUGAGUUUCUGGGGAGGCGCAGGGCGGGAAGGCCACCCUACGGGGAGCUGAGGGAAGGGAAGGGCUUCAGUGGGACCAGGACGUGCUGUGCAGAUUCCUCUGGUGC
Molecule: long non-coding RNA, 3211 nt
Filed under: Homo sapiens (human)
Lineage: Eukaryota; Metazoa; Chordata; Mammalia; Primates; Hominidae
Description: HSALNT0162086
Source: RNAcentral